RNAcentral lists this long non-coding RNA (215 nucleotides) under Lathyrus oleraceus (garden pea). RNAcentral describes it as "Pisum sativum (pea) long non-coding RNA (PSAT_LNC000006)". Lineage: Eukaryota; Viridiplantae; Streptophyta; Magnoliopsida; Fabales; Fabaceae. The record is from RNAcentral.
UUCAUCAUCUUCAUCUUCUUCCUCCCGUGCACCAACAAAAAAGAUAUUAAAAAAAAACGAUUACAUUCUCAUGCUCUUUAAAUACUUAUUAGGGGUAACGGGUUCAUCUUUGAUGAAUAAUUUUUUCCAUAUUUAAUAAAUAAAACAAAAAUAAAUAUUCGAGAUGAGGACACAUGAUUUAAACACAUUACAAAAAGAUUCUGGCAUUAGACUCG